RNAcentral lists this RNase P RNA (301 nucleotides) under bovine gut metagenome. Its description in RNAcentral is "Bacterial RNase P class A". It matches the Rfam family "Bacterial RNase P class A", at positions 40 to 362 of the family's 367-position model. From Rfam's summary of the family: Ribonuclease P (RNase P) is a ubiquitous endoribonuclease, found in archaea, bacteria and eukarya as well as chloroplasts and mitochondria. Its best characterised activity is the generation of mature 5'-ends of tRNAs by cleaving the 5'-leader elements of precursor-tRNAs. Cellular RNase Ps are ribonucleoproteins. The record is from RNAcentral.
GACGAGGAAAGUCCGGGCUCCGCAGGGCAGGAUGCCGGAUAACGUCCGGCAGGGGUAACCCUCGGGAAAGCGCAGCAGAAAAGAACCGCCCCGCCGAGGCGGGGUAAGGGUGAAAAGGCAGUGUAAGAGACUACCGCCUUUCCGGUAACGGAAAGGGCAUAUGCAAGCCCCAUCCGGAGCAAGGCUGAGAGUGAGCGAUACGGCGGCCCGCCGUGCUCCAGGUAAGCCGCUUGAUCCGUCCGGCGACGGGCGGGCUAGACAGAUGGCCGCACGCGACAGAACCCGGCUUAUCGUUCUGCCU